Molecule: ribosomal RNA, 620 nt
Filed under: Pantoea agglomerans
Lineage: Bacteria; Pseudomonadati; Pseudomonadota; Gammaproteobacteria; Enterobacterales; Erwiniaceae
Description: bacterial SSU rRNA
Rfam family: Bacterial small subunit ribosomal RNA
Source: RNAcentral
ACGAUGUCGACUUGGAGGCUGUGCCCUUGAGGCGUGGCUUCCGGAGCUAACGCGUUAAGUCGACCGCCUGGGGAGUACGGCCGCAAGGUUAAAACUCAAAUGAAUUGACGGGGGCCCGCACAAGCGGUGGAGCAUGUGGUUUAAUUCGAUGCAACGCGAAGAACCUUACCUACUCUUGACAUCCAGCGAACUUUCCAGAGAUGGAUUGGUGCCUUCGGGAACGCUGAGACAGGUGCUGCAUGGCUGUCGUCAGCUCGUGUUGUGAAAUGUUGGGUUAAGUCCCGCAACGAGCGCAACCCUUAUCCUUUGUUGCCAGCGAUUCGGUCGGGAACUCAAAGGAGACUGCCGGUGAUAAACCGGAGGAAGGUGGGGAUGACGUCAAGUCAUCAUGGCCCUUACGAGUAGGGCUACACACGUGCUACAAUGGCGCAUACAAAGAGAAGCGACCUCGCGAGAGCAAGCGGACCUCACAAAGUGCGUCGUAGUCCGGAUCGGAGUCUGCAACUCGACUCCGUGAAGUCGGAAUCGCUAGUAAUCGUGGAUCAGAAUGCCACGGUGAAUACGUUCCCGGGCCUUGUACACACCGCCCGUCACACCAUGGGAGUGGGUUGCAAAAGAAG